This 324-nucleotide long non-coding RNA is filed under the name Homo sapiens (human). RNAcentral describes it as "HSALNT0387954". The record is from RNAcentral. Lineage: Eukaryota; Metazoa; Chordata; Mammalia; Primates; Hominidae.
CUUCCUGCUCCACUCUCUCCUGCUCCGGGGCCCCCGUCAUUUGUUCUCUGUGUGUGAAUUCUCUCUCUUGGCCAGCCACUGAAGCCAGAUUUCGUUUGUGAAGCUGACCCUUCCAGGAGUCUCUGUCUCCUCACUGACCCAUCCCUUCUCAGCCCACUACAGUUGUAGUUCUGGCACCAUCGUGCCAUCAAAGCCGCUUUACAACGUCACCACUGUCCUUCCAAGCCAUCGAACGUCACCACUGUCCUUCCAAGCCAUCGAACGUCACCACUGUCCUUCCAAGUCAUCGAGCGUCACCACUGUCCUUCCGAGCCAUCGAGCGUC